AUCGGUAUGGCUCAGGUGGUUAGAAUAAACUUUAGCGUCAGCCUAACAUGCUGAAAGUCAUGAGUUCGAAAAUCUAUAUCUCAUUACCGAUA
This 92-nucleotide transfer RNA is filed under the name Chroomonas mesostigmatica CCMP1168. Its description in RNAcentral is "tRNA-Val". Lineage: Eukaryota; Cryptophyceae; Pyrenomonadales; Chroomonadaceae. The record is from RNAcentral.